AGAGAUAUAGCUCUAUGGUAAAGCAUUUGCCUAGCAUGCAUAGGUUCUGGGUUCAAUUCCCAAUAAAUUCC
Molecule: non-coding RNA, 71 nt
Organism: Ictidomys tridecemlineatus (thirteen-lined ground squirrel)
Lineage: Eukaryota; Metazoa; Chordata; Mammalia; Rodentia; Sciuridae
Source: Rfam